This 73-nucleotide small nuclear RNA is filed under the name Ochotona princeps (American pika). Lineage: Eukaryota; Metazoa; Chordata; Mammalia; Lagomorpha; Ochotonidae. The record is from RNAcentral.
GUGCUUGCUUCGGCAGCACAUAUACUAAAGUUGGAACGAUACAGAGAAGAUUAGCAUGGCCCCUGUGCAAGAA